CUGCCACUGAGGAGUCCCACAAUAAAACGAAACGGCCGUCCAGCGCCUGCAG
Molecule: non-coding RNA, 52 nt
Organism: Schistosoma mansoni
Lineage: Eukaryota; Metazoa; Platyhelminthes; Trematoda; Strigeidida; Schistosomatidae
Source: Rfam